CAGGACUCCAUCCAGCUGCACUAUUGUCUUUGUACCUGCCUCAGGGUCUUUGCACUUGCUGUUCUCUCUGCCAGAAACAGUCUUCCACCAGGCACCUGCAAGGCUUCUUCCUCGAUCUUUCAGAUCUUUAAUCAAAUGCCAGCCUUUCUCUGGCUACACUAAAUUGCAGCAUCUUCAUUACUCUCUGUAUUCUCCGCCUUUGUUUUAUUUUAUACCAUGUGUAUCAUCCUGUCAGCAUCACAGCUCUUCUUAUUUUAUUGCCUGUCUCCGCACCUCACUAGAAUGCUCACUUUCAAAACGGGGAGUCAGCCCAUUUGGUCACUGGAUGAAGCAGGAUGCAGGCUGAAUGGAGAGGUGGUGGAGUUCGCAGUCUGUCCCAGGCACUCCCUCACCCAGCUAUCUGCCAAUACACCACUUUGAUUUAUCUAUUGUAAAGCUUUUUAAAAGUGUCCCUUAAAGUAGCUUAAGGACAAAUGUGAAUAAAACUUCACAGCAAGUGGAGAUGCAGCCUGAAGAGGCACG
RNAcentral lists this long non-coding RNA (522 nucleotides) under Homo sapiens (human). RNAcentral describes it as "HSALNT0308426". Lineage: Eukaryota; Metazoa; Chordata; Mammalia; Primates; Hominidae. The record is from RNAcentral.